This 387-nucleotide ribosomal RNA is filed under the name uncultured bacterium. Its description in RNAcentral is "bacterial SSU rRNA". It matches the Rfam family "Bacterial small subunit ribosomal RNA", at positions 29 to 418 of the family's 1533-position model. The record is from RNAcentral.
AGCGAACGUUUGCGGCGGGCCUAACACAUGCAAGUCGAACGCACUAGCAAUAGUGAGUGGCGCACGGGUGCGUAACACGUGGGUAAUCAACCCUUCAGCUUGGGAUAACGGACUUGAAAGGGUCGCUAAUACCGGAUACGGCGCGAGAGGCUUCGGCUUCUCACGAGAAAGCCUCGCAAGGGGCACUGAAGGACGAGCCUGCGGCCCAUCAGCUAGUUGGUGAGGUAAGAGCUCACCAAGGCUAAGACGGGUAGCUGGUCUGAGAGGAUGAUCAGCCACACUGGAACUGAGACACGGUCCAGACUCCUACGGGAGGCAGCAGUGGGGAAUAUUGCGCAAUGGGCGAAAGCCUGACGCAGCCACGCCGCGUGAGCGGAUGAAGGCCUU